Molecule: transfer RNA, 72 nt
Filed under: Camelus bactrianus (Bactrian camel)
Lineage: Eukaryota; Metazoa; Chordata; Mammalia; Artiodactyla; Camelidae
Also listed under: 1 other name
Rfam family: tRNA
About the family: Transfer RNA (tRNA) molecules are approximately 80 nucleotides in length. Their secondary structure includes four short double-helical elements and three loops (D, anti-codon, and T loops).
Source: Rfam by way of RNAcentral
UGGGUUAUUGCUUAGUGGUAGAGCAUAUGCUUAGCAUGCACGAGGUCCUGGGUUCAAUCCCCAGUACUUCCA